ACAAUUGUAGUUCCUGUUUUCCUAAAGGAGGGAGGGUUAACUCCCUUCUUUGCCAGCAUAUCAUUUCUUCUACAGAGAUCGAAACUGAACCCACCCAUUGGAGGAACAUCUACCAGCGAUUUCGACAUUCUUUAGAAACUUGAAAUUGAAUUCUGAACCCACUGUAAUCGAAUCGAGAAGUAGCAGAGACUACUGAAUUAUUGAUCGAUUUCGAGGUUUAUUUUGGCUUUAGACAAGGUAACCUAGGAAAGAAGAAAAGAUUGUUUUUGCUAAAGUGGGUCUCGUUUACAAGGUAUUUG
RNAcentral lists this unclassified non-coding RNA (299 nucleotides) under Hevea brasiliensis (rubber tree). The record is from RNAcentral. Lineage: Eukaryota; Viridiplantae; Streptophyta; Magnoliopsida; Malpighiales; Euphorbiaceae.